This 105-nucleotide transfer RNA is filed under the name Macrolepiota fuliginosa MF-IS2. It matches the Rfam family "tRNA". From Rfam's summary of the family: Transfer RNA (tRNA) molecules are approximately 80 nucleotides in length. Their secondary structure includes four short double-helical elements and three loops (D, anti-codon, and T loops). The record is from Rfam by way of RNAcentral. Lineage: Eukaryota; Fungi; Basidiomycota; Agaricomycetes; Agaricales; Agaricaceae.
GCUUCCUUGGCUCAGUUGGUUAGAGCGCCGGUCUCAUAAGCAGUUAUGAGUGAUCAAUUCGAUCAUCUAAUCCGGAGAUCACCAGUUCGACCCUGGUAGGGAGCA